GCCAUCGUGGCGCAAUGGUAGCGCAUCACCUUCCUACUGCUCAUGCGUAUAGUGGCGUGGGAAUAAGGUGGGGGUUGCGGGUUCGAUCCCCGUCGGUGGUA
Earliella scabrosa is the source of this 101-nucleotide non-coding RNA. Lineage: Eukaryota; Fungi; Basidiomycota; Agaricomycetes; Polyporales; Polyporaceae. The record is from the annotation of a GenBank genome assembly.